GACGAACGCUGGCGGCGUGCUUAACACAUGCAAGUCGAACGGAAAGGCCCUGCUUUUGUGGGGUGCUCGAGUGGCGAACGGGUGAGUAACACGUGAGUAACCUGCCCUUGACUUUGGGAUAACUUCAGGAAACUGGGGCUAAUACCGGAUAGGAGCUCCUGCUGCAUGGUGGGGGUUGGAAAGUUUCGGCGGUUGGGGAUGGACUCGCGGCUUAUCAGCUUGUUGGUGGGGUAGUGGCUUACCGAGGCUUUGACGGGUAGCCGGCCUGAGAGGGUGACCGGCCACAUUGGGACUGAGAUACGGCCCAGACUCCUACGGGAGGCAGCAGUGGGGAAUAUUGCACAAUGGGCGGAAGCCUGAUGCAGCAACGCCGCGUGCGGGAUGACGGCCUUCGGGUUGUAAACCGCUUUCGCCUGUGACGAAGCGUGAGUGACGGUAAUGGGUAAAGAAGCACCGGCUAACUACAUG
Molecule: ribosomal RNA, 468 nt
Filed under: uncultured bacterium
Lineage: Bacteria
Description: partial 16S ribosomal RNA
Rfam family: Bacterial small subunit ribosomal RNA
Source: RNAcentral